UUAUCGGAGAGUUUGAUCCUGGCUCAGAACGAACGCUGGCGGCACGCCUCAUACAUGCAAGUCGAGCGCGAAAUCGCCUUCGGGUGACGUAGAGCGGCGAACGGGUGAGUAACAGGUGGGUAAUCUGCCCUUUGGCGGGGGACAACAGCUGGAAACGGCUGCUAAUACCGCAUGUGGUUGUGUGUUCAUGACGCACAAAGAAAGGCGCUUCACGGCGCCACCAAAGGAUGAGCCCGCCCCCCAUUAGCUAGUUGGUGAGAUAACAGCUCACCAAGGCAUCGAU
This 283-nucleotide ribosomal RNA is filed under the name Candidatus Hydrogenedentota bacterium. Its description in RNAcentral is "partial 16S ribosomal RNA". It matches the Rfam family "Bacterial small subunit ribosomal RNA", at positions 1 to 280 of the family's 1533-position model. Lineage: Bacteria; Pseudomonadati; Candidatus Hydrogenedentota. The record is from RNAcentral.